AUUGAACGCUGGCGGCAUGCCUUACACAUGCAAGUCGAACGGCAGCACGGGUGCUUGCACCUGGUGGCGAGUGGCGAACGGGUGAGUAAUACAUCGGAACAUGUCCUGUAGUGGGGGAUAGCCCGGCGAAAGCCGGAUUAAUACCGCAUACGAUCUACGGAUGAAAGCGGGGGACCUUCGGGCCUCGCGCUAUAAGGUUGGCCGAUGGCUGAUUAGCUAGUUGGUGGGGUAAAGGCCUACCAAGGCGACGAUCAGUAGCUGGUCUGAGAGGACGACCAGCCACACUGGGGGUGGGACGGGGACAAGACGACUACGGGAGGGAGCCGAGGGGAAUUUGGGGCAGUGGGGGAGAACCUGGUCCAGUGAGGCCGCGUGUGUGAAAGAGGCCUCCGGGUUGGGAAGCACGUGUGUGGGGGAAGAACGGUUUGGGCCUAAGACGGACGGGGGAUGACGGUAACGGAAGAAGAAGCACCGGCUAACUACGUG
This 486-nucleotide ribosomal RNA is filed under the name uncultured bacterium. Its description in RNAcentral is "partial 16S ribosomal RNA". It matches the Rfam family "Bacterial small subunit ribosomal RNA", at positions 29 to 507 of the family's 1533-position model. The record is from RNAcentral.